This 301-nucleotide ribosomal RNA is filed under the name uncultured bacterium. Its description in RNAcentral is "partial 16S ribosomal RNA". It matches the Rfam family "Bacterial small subunit ribosomal RNA", at positions 509 to 807 of the family's 1533-position model. The record is from RNAcentral.
CAGCAGCCACGGGAAUACGUAGGUGGCAAGCGUUGUCCGGAAUUAUUGGGCGUAAAGGGCUCGCAGGCGGUUUCUUAAGUCUGAUGUGAAAGCCCCCGGCUCAACCGGGGAGGGUCGUUGGAAACUGGGAAACUUGAGUGCAGAAGAGGAGGGUGGAAUUCCACGUGUAGCGGUGAAAUGCGUAGAGAUGUGGAGGAACACCAGUGGCGAAGGCGACUCUCUGGUCUGUAACUGACGCUGAGGAGCGAAAGCGUGGGGAGCGAACAGGAUUAGAUACCCCGGUAGUCCCUGUCUCUUAUAC